AAUCAACGCUGGCGGCGUGCCUAACACAUGCAAGUCGCACGAGAAAGGGCAGCAAUGCCUGAGUACAGUGGCGCACGGGUGAGUAACACGUGAAUGAUCUACCUCCGAGUGGGGAAUAACUGAGAGAAAUCUUAGCUAGUACCGCAUAACACUUACGAGUCAAAGCAGCAAUGCGCUUGGAGAGGAGUUCGCGGCAGAUUAGAGUUGGCGGGGUAAUGGCCCACCAAGACGAUGAUCUGUAUCCGGCCUGAGAGGGCGCACGGACACACUGGAACUGAAACACGGUCCAGACUCCUACGGGAGGCAGCAGUGGGGAAUUUUGCGCAAUGGGGGAAACCCUGACGCAGCAACGCCGCGUGGAGGAUGAAAUCCCUU
This 375-nucleotide ribosomal RNA is filed under the name uncultured bacterium. RNAcentral describes it as "bacterial SSU rRNA". It matches the Rfam family "Bacterial small subunit ribosomal RNA", at positions 32 to 419 of the family's 1533-position model. The record is from RNAcentral.